CACUCCCCUUCCUCCAGGCUUCUCAUCUGUAACUGGUGAAGCCUGGAAGAGCUUGUUGUUCAAGAGGAAAUCUUGUGUUACUUCUUUAUGAAGGACUCCAGCCUGGUGGAGAUGAAUGAGUCCUGAAGAUGGAAUCGAAGCUGUUUGGGCACAACAAGGUUUCACUCUUGUUGCCCAGGCUGGAGUGCAAUGGUGUGAUCUAGGCUCACUGCAACCUCCACCUCCUGGGUUCAAGUGAUUCUCCUGUCUCAGGCUCCCAAGUAGCUGGGAUUACAGUACUUUAAUCAGCAUUUAAUGACCUAGUCGAAAAUUCAUUGUUUGGACCCAAGCACUGGUGGGAAAGGCAGGAGGGGAGGCCUGCCUUGCUUCCUCCCUCCCGAGCCCUACAGCAGGGCAUGGAGUGGUGAGUGAGUUCAUACAGUGCCAGCCACAUUCCCAGAAACUUCCAGCAGAGGUUAAUCCUGCUCCUCUCAGGUGGGCUUGGCCCAUUCUCUAGACUUUGGAAGAUAAUGUUCUAUAGAGGCCUGUUCUGAAGCUUUACCAGGUCAAACUGGAGAAGAACCCAACAAGUAACUCAUCCCAGCCUAACUGUUCUUCAAGGGCAAUCAACCUACAGCAUCCAAGCACAGAGAAAUCAAAUCCAUGGAGAAUCUUCAAA
This 658-nucleotide long non-coding RNA is filed under the name Pongo abelii (Sumatran orangutan). RNAcentral's name for it is "lincRNA". The record is from RNAcentral. Lineage: Eukaryota; Metazoa; Chordata; Mammalia; Primates; Hominidae.